RNAcentral lists this ribosomal RNA (472 nucleotides) under uncultured bacterium. RNAcentral describes it as "partial 16S ribosomal RNA". It matches the Rfam family "Bacterial small subunit ribosomal RNA", at positions 28 to 507 of the family's 1533-position model. The record is from RNAcentral.
GACGAACGCUGGCCGCGUGCUUAACACAUGCAAGUCGAACGCUGAAGCUUGGUGCUUGCACUGGUUGGAUGAGUGGCGAACGGGUGAGUAAUACGUGAGUAACCUGCCCUUGACUCUGGGAUAAGCCUGGGAAACUGGGUCUAAUACUGGAUACGACAUGUCACCGCAUGGUGGUGUGUGGAAAGGGUUUUACUGGUUUUGGAUGGGCUCACGGCCUAUCAGCUUGUUGGUGGGGUAAUGGCUCACCAAGGCGACGACGGGUAGCCGGCCUGAGAGGGUGACCGGCCACACUGGGACUGAGAGACGGCCCAGACUCCUACGGGAGGCAGCAGUGGGGAAUAUUGCACAAUGGGCGGAAGCCUGAUGCAGCGACGCCGCGUGAGGGAUGACGGCCUUCGGGUUGUAAACCUCUUUCAGCAAGGAAGAAGCGAAAGUGACGGUACGUGCAGAAGAAGCGCCGGCUAACUACGUG